Labrus mixtus (cuckoo wrasse) is the source of this 305-nucleotide long non-coding RNA. RefSeq lists it as uncharacterized. The record is from RefSeq and is a predicted model, not a curated record. The transcript is spliced from 3 exons. Lineage: Eukaryota; Metazoa; Chordata; Actinopteri; Labriformes; Labridae.
AGAGAGGAGAGAGACAAAAGACAGGCAGAGUUAUUUUAGGUCUUGAUCUUAUAUCCUUUAGGAAUUGGUCGACAUUAUGAAAAACACACUUGUUCACUUCCAUGCCAAGAGCUUGGAAAAUAAGAUUGGUCACAGUCUCGUCUUAGCCAAGUAACAGCCAGAGGUACAUGAAGAUCUUUCUGUAUUUGGUAACAAUAAAAACAAUACAAUGAUGGUUUAAGGGUGAUUUCAUGCAAGUAGUCUCUCUUUUAUAUGUCUCAGAUUUUUCCUCCGUCUGGAUUAUGAGUAAGUAAGACUUUAUUUAU